GUCUGGUGUUCUGAAUGUGACGAAGGACUUUGCGGAGAUUGUAAUGCACAUCACAGUAUUUCUAGGGGAACAAGAAAACAUGAAACCGUUUCCAUCGCUGAGUACAAGAAAUUACCGACCGAAGUCCUGCAAAUCGCUCAAAUCUUCAAACUACAUAAUGAAAAAUACGAGCUUUUCUGUAGAAAACAUGACUGUCCGUGCUGUAAGAAAUGUGUGAAAUCUCACAACGAUUGUAAGGGUUUAACCGAUAUGAAUGAACUCAUUAAAAAUGUAAAAACUUCAAACGCCUUUUAUGAAAUCGAACAAACCCUGCUUGAAGUCACCGAGAAUGUUAAACGACUCAGCGAUAACCGGAAAGAAAAUUUGAACUCGCUUCGAGAUAAGAAAAGAGUUAUUGAAGCCGAAAUAAAACGAACCAGAACCAAAAUAAACGAUCACCUUGAUAAACUUCAGGAUGAUUUUAUGAAAGAAUUAAUGGCAGUUGAACAAAAAGAGAGCAGCAAAAUACAAAAAAUGUUGACUACCCUGAAAAAGAACGAAAAAGAAAUCAGUGAAGUACAAGACAGCAUUGCUAGUAUUAAACAGCAUGCGACCGAACUUCAAACAUUUUUAACCAUGAAAGAUAUCGAAAAAAAUAUUGCAGUAAGACAAAAAUUCAUUCAAUCGAUCACCACAAGUGACACUACAAAUGAAUUCAAUAUUUCAUUUCAAAUUAACAAAUCUUUACAGCAAAUCACGGCCAGCGUG
RNAcentral lists this long non-coding RNA (747 nucleotides) under Mytilus galloprovincialis (Mediterranean mussel). The record is from RNAcentral. Lineage: Eukaryota; Metazoa; Mollusca; Bivalvia; Mytilida; Mytilidae.